CCAGCGCCACCACCAGCGCCAGCACGUCCGACAGCAUGUGGAAGGAGUCGGAGAGCAUCGCCAGGGACGUGGUCACCCGGCUCACCACCACCUCCAGGACCAUGAACAUGAAGCUUGUCGUGGACAUCAGCCUUAAGAGUCAAGUUCUCACCGGUGCCUUCCUAUGAGAGAAGAAGCCUGGGCAACUGAAAAAUAAGUUGUUUUUUUUGAUAGCCACCUCUCACCAUGCCAAAGAGCCAUGCAAUCUGUGCAGAAGCAGCAUGCUUGCUGUGUGAACAUGAUUUCAAGACCAGCUUCCAGCCUUCCUUCCAGCAGACUGCCAGGCCUUAAGUCUCUUCCUUCAGAGGAAACUAUGACUAGAAAAGUAUACGAGGAUGUCCUUCUAGUAACUGAAGUUUAUUGAGUUAUCUAAUGGUUAACCAGAAAACUUAUUUGUUUUAGGCUUUGUAGUAGAAAACCAUGCUUAUGUGUUUAUUCAGCUCUUGCUUUAGUAGCUAGAACAGCCCUAACACAUGUUUGUGAAACGGAGCCAAGUCUUAUAGCCCGACCCUAUUGCUGGUGCAGAGGAGGCAUUCAACAAAUGUUUGAUAAUAUAAUUAACUAAUAAGGUAGGGAGUGAAACAAAGACAGUGUUUAAUUAGUUCACUAGUUUUCUCUAGUCUUGUCUUCAACUAUGUAACUGACAUGAGGCAUAAAUUACUUGAAUAUAAUAAAAAUAUAUAAUUUUUUAUAAGUCCCAUUGCUUGGACUCUAUAAGCUUUCAAGACAUUCCUUAUUACUUAGGUUCAUUUAAUGUCAUCAUUCUUUUGGAAGAGAUAUUGUUUUAUAGAAAUAUUUACAAUCAAGAAACCUCCAAAGAUGUCUCAGGGGCUUAAAAAAGACAAUAGAUGUGAGUCAGAAAAAGAAGUGAUCAUCAAUAUUCCUCAAGCUUCUGCUGUGUGCCAAUCUUGGAGGGUUCAUUGGUGAGCAGAACAAACAUGGGCCCUGCCCUACAGAGGUACAACUGAACACAAUAUAAACAUAAUUACAAUUUGAAAUCAGAUUCUAGUAGUCACCUAAUUGGGAUUAAGGGAUGCUAAUUUAGUUCAGGAGGAUUGGAGAGAUCUCUUUCAAGAAUAACAUUUAAGUGAGACUUGCUACAAGAAUAGGAAUUAGUUAAGGCAAUAAAUAUUGUCAAGUAUUCCCCACAGGGCUUCUCUGAUAGCUCAGUUGGUAAAGAAUCCGCCUCCAAUGCAGGAAACCUGGGUUUGAUCCCUCGGUUGGGAAGAUCCCUUGGAGAAGGGAAAGGCUACCCACUUCAGUAUUCUGGCCUGGAGAAUUCCAUGGACUGUAUAAUCCAUGGGGUUACAAAGAGUCGGACAUGACUGAGCGACUUUCACUCACUCAUUCCCCAUAAAGGGAUCAGUCUAUGAAAGAUCAUGAGGGAGGAAGAAAUUUGGUACAUCCUGGGAAUUUUACAAAGCACAGAGAUCAAGAGCAAGGUAAGGCAGGGCCGGCUCAUGCAGGCCUUGCGGGCCACUUGUAGGGGACUGUUCAUUGCCUUUGAUGCUUCCAAUCCCCUCUCUCCGUCCCCAACACAACCCUGAGCGUGUUCCCUGGAGCUGCAGGUGGGGCUGCCAGCCUCUACUGCCAGGAGCUACACGCAAUGCUGAUCCCAACUCCCAGCUCAAAGAGUGGCUCCUGAUUGGUCCAAGCCAAUCAGUAACCAGCAUUGCUCUAGUGAGUCUUUUUGGGUUAGAAGUGUUCACAUGAUCUAAAAUGGCCCAAUCAGAUUGCAGAGAGAAGUUUAGAUUCCUUGACUGGGAAAACCUCCACUCUUCUGUCCUUCCAAAUACUAAGCCAAGGGAGGAGUCUACCCUUACUUAGAUGCAUCCAGUGCCAAGUGCAGCAGAGAAGUGGGCAGAACCUGGAAUCUAAGGAGCAUUAUUGAGCUGCCCAAAUUCAGCCUGAACUCAUCCAUGUUUCCUUGUUGGUUAAAAUCCUUGAAUUUACCAAUUAUUUCAUUUUUUUUUUCCCAAACACUGUGACUUUUCUGUAUUUGAGGAUCUUAUUUUGUAAAACUAUGCUAAUG
Molecule: long non-coding RNA, 2071 nt
Organism: Dama dama (fallow deer)
Lineage: Eukaryota; Metazoa; Chordata; Mammalia; Artiodactyla; Cervidae
Exons: 3
Source: RefSeq, a predicted model, not a curated record